CCUACGGGUGGCAGCAGUGAGGAAUAUUGGUCAAUGGCCGAGAGGCUGAACCAGCCAAGUCGCGUGAGGGAAGAAUGUUCUAUGGAUUGUAAACCUCUUUUGUCAGGGAGCAAAGUCACCCACGUGUGGGUGUUGGAGAGUAUCUGUAGAAAAAGCAUCGGCUAACUCCGGGCAAGCAGCCGGGGUAAUACGGAGGAGGCGAGCGUUAUCCGGAUUUAUUGGGUUAAAGGGGUGCGUAGGCGGGUUAUCAAGUCAGCGGUAAAAUCGUGGGGCUCAACUCCAUCCAGCCGUGGAAACUGAUGAUCUUGAGUGGGCGAGAAGUAUGCGGAAUGCGUGGUGUAGCGGUGAAAUGCAUAGAUAUCACGCAGAACUCCGAUUGCGAAGGCAGCAUACCGGCGCCCGACUGACGCUGAAGCACGAAGGCGUGGGGAUCGAACAGGAUUAGAUACCCCAGUAGUC
RNAcentral lists this ribosomal RNA (459 nucleotides) under uncultured bacterium. RNAcentral's name for it is "partial 16S ribosomal RNA". It matches the Rfam family "Bacterial small subunit ribosomal RNA", at positions 338 to 795 of the family's 1533-position model. The record is from RNAcentral.